Molecule: transfer RNA, 85 nt
Filed under: Myxococcales bacterium
Lineage: Bacteria; Pseudomonadati; Myxococcota; Myxococcia; Myxococcales
Description: tRNA-Ser
Rfam family: tRNA
About the family: Transfer RNA (tRNA) molecules are approximately 80 nucleotides in length.
Source: RNAcentral
GGAGGAGUGGCCGAGUGGUCUAAGGCGACGGUCUUGAAAACCGUUGACGGGCAACCGUCCGGGGGUUCGAAUCCCUCCUCCUCCU